RNAcentral lists this ribosomal RNA (224 nucleotides) under uncultured bacterium. RNAcentral describes it as "partial 16S ribosomal RNA". It matches the Rfam family "Bacterial small subunit ribosomal RNA", at positions 1268 to 1500 of the family's 1533-position model. The record is from RNAcentral.
CGGAUCUCGAAAGCCUGUCCUAGUUCGGACUGGAGUCUGNAACCCGACUCCACGAAGUUGGAUUCGCUAGUAAUCGCGCAUCAGCCAUGGCGCGGUGAAUACGUUCCCGGGCCUUGUACACACCGCCCGUCAAGCCAUGGGAGCCGGGGGCGCCUGAAGUCCGGGACCGCGAGGACCGGCCUAGGGCGAAACUGGUAACUGGGGCUAAGUCGUAACAAGGUAAC